Molecule: ribosomal RNA, 408 nt
Filed under: uncultured bacterium
Lineage: Bacteria
Description: partial 16S ribosomal RNA
Rfam family: Bacterial small subunit ribosomal RNA
Source: RNAcentral
AGUGAACGCUGGCGGCGUGCCUAAUACAUGCAAGUCGAACGAAGUGGCGCGCGGGUGAGUAAAAUAUGUUUAAUCUGCCCUACACAGAGGGGCAACAGUUGGGAACGACUGCUAAUACCUCGUAGUUGAGGAUGAUACUAUAUCGUAUCAGCUAGUUGGUAAGGUAAUGGCUGACCAAGGCUAUGACGCGUAACUGGUCGGAGAGGAUGAGCAGUAACAUUGGAACUGAGACACGGUCCAAACUCCUACGGGAGGCAGCAGUAAGGAAUAUUGCUCAAUGGGGGAAACCCUGACGCAGCAACGCCGCGUGGAGGAUGACACUUUUCGGAGCGUAAACUCCUUUUAUCAGGAAAGCGGUACCUGAUGAAUAAGCACCGGCUAACUCCGUGCCAGCAGCCGCGGUAAUUC